GUGGGGAAUUUUGGACAAUGGGCGCAAGCCUGAUCCAGCAAUGCCGCGUGCAGGAAGAAGGCCUUCGGGUUGUAAACUGCUUUUGUACGGAACGAAACGGUCCUGGUUAAUACCUGGGGCUAAUGACGGUACCGUAAGAAUAAGCACCGGCUAACUACGUGCCAGCAGCCGCGGUAAUACGUAGGGUGCGAGCGUUAAUCGGAAUUACUGGGCGUAAAGCGUGCGCAGGCGGUGCUGUAAGACAGGCGUGAAAUCCCCGGGCUCGACCUGGGAAUUGCGCUUGUGACUGCAGUGCUGGAGUGCGGCAGAGGGGGAUGGAAUUCCGCGUGUAGCAGUGAAAUGCGUAGAUAUGCGGAGGAACACCGAUGGCGAAGGCAAUCCCCUGGGCCUGCACUGACGCUCAUGCACGAAAGCGUGGGGAGCAAACAGGAUUAGAAACCCCUGUAGUCC
RNAcentral lists this ribosomal RNA (450 nucleotides) under uncultured bacterium. RNAcentral's name for it is "partial 16S ribosomal RNA". It matches the Rfam family "Bacterial small subunit ribosomal RNA", at positions 354 to 796 of the family's 1533-position model. The record is from RNAcentral.